Long non-coding RNA from Carya illinoinensis, 991 nucleotides. RefSeq lists it as uncharacterized. The transcript has 4 exons. The record is from RefSeq and is a predicted model, not a curated record. Lineage: Eukaryota; Viridiplantae; Streptophyta; Magnoliopsida; Fagales; Juglandaceae.
UGGAGCAAAGGUGGUUGUGCCGAUAUUCACGGUGGUGGAAGCUUCCGUGCGUGAUGGCAGGGAGUUUGAGGAGAAAGAGAAAGGGGGGCAUGAGGGGGAACUGUUAAACUGAGAACUCAACAAGAAGAUGAGAAAACUCACUUCUUAGUAGUUUUUAAUAAGGACGCUACUACAGCCAUAGAGAAAACUCACUCAAGGUGGCCACCAAAUAGGUUAAAAUAUUUAUAAAAAAAAACUUUUUCAUACAUUUUUUUAGGGAGCCACUACAGAUAAUCCCACACAGUUUUUUUUUUUUUUUUUCCUCCAGAAAGUGAGUAGAGUUUUCAUUACUGCCAUGCCAUCUCGUUUAUAGAGUUCCCAGCAAGUCCCAUUUCACAAGUUUUCAUUCCCCGCCCAACGUCCCUGUUAGUAUUCUUCAGCAACCCAAUGUUAGCCACCGGUAUCGCCGGCAUCGUCCUUAACAUUGCCGGAAGUUACAAUCACGUUGGAGCCCUUGCCGGCAGCUAUAAUCAAGAUGGAACCGUGUUGAUUGAUAUUUUUUAAGGAUGAUCAUGACAGUGACAGUCCUGACACUCUACAAGACCAAGAAGAGCAAGUUGGGUAUCAGUAUACCAAGAAUCAAAAGGUUGAAGAGCUUAAGGUUGAUAUGAUAUUUGAGACUCAAGCAGAUAUUAUUGAACACUACAUAAAGUAUGCCAAAAAUGAGGGAUUUGGAUUGUCAGAAAGGAUAUCAACUAUUGGAGAUUAUGGGAAGGUAAAAUACUUCACAAUAGUAUGCAGUUGCCAUCACAAGCCAAUAAGCAAAUCAUCAAAAAUUGAUCAGCCAAAGCCGAUAGGAGGACAAAUUGCAAGGCUAAGAUUAAUGUAAAACAAAUAGCCAAUAGAGGGUAUCAGUUAUUCAAUGUUGUCCUCAAACACAAUCAUGUAAUGAGUCCGAGUAAGUCAAGAUAUAUUACUUGUCAUAAAAAAUUAUCAUGUUAGUAAAAUAAAA